UCCAUGGUAACACAAGACAUUUUCGAAAUUCCAACGCCAAAUUCCACAUCUACCAAAGUUGCUCAUUGUUAUGCUUAAGUUUCAAAAAAUUUGGAGCAUUUUGAUAUUUUGGAAAUUUUUGGUGUAGUUUCCAUGACAACAUAGUAGUUCCAAUGAUUGCCAAAAUCAUCCAAAACCAGUAUAUGCCCGGCACCUACAUUGUAUCAAAAUAUAAUGAUUCUGAGUUUAAGCAUCUCCAAAUUAUUCACCAAAACCCAAAAAUUUAAUUUUUCACAUUUGUUCCGUUUCCAUGGUAACGGCAGCCAUUUUUAAUGGUCUUAUGACCUACUGCAACCCGGAAUUUUGUGUUCCUCAUUAUAGUCAACUAUCAUUAAGAUUGGUUCCAUUGUCUCCAAGAAAACUGCCGGACAAAAUCAUUGGAAGAAUAAUAAUAAUAAUAGUAAAGAAACAGAGGAAAAGCAAUAUGUCACCCGACAUUGUCGAUCGGGUGACAUAAUAAUAAGAACUGACCAAAAACAAUAAGUCUCCAAACUUUGUUUGGGAGACUUAAUUA
RNAcentral lists this long non-coding RNA (553 nucleotides) under Mytilus galloprovincialis (Mediterranean mussel). Lineage: Eukaryota; Metazoa; Mollusca; Bivalvia; Mytilida; Mytilidae. The record is from RNAcentral.